AGAUUGAACGCUGGCGGCAGGCCUAACACAUGCAAGUCGAGCGGCAGCACGGGUACUUGUACCUGGUGGCGAGCGGCGGACGGGUGAGUAAUGCCUAGGAAUCUGCCUGGUAGUGGGGGAUAACGCUCGGAAACGGACGCUAAUACCGCAUACGUCCUACGGGAGAAAGCAGGGGACCUUCGGGCCUUGCGCUAUCAGAUGAGCCUAGGUCGGAUUAGCUAGUUGGUGGGGUAAUGGCUCACCCAAGGCGACGAUCCGUAACUGGUCUGAGAGGAUGAUCAGUCACACUGGAACUGAGACACGGUCCAGACUCCGUACGGGA
RNAcentral lists this ribosomal RNA (322 nucleotides) under uncultured soil bacterium. Its description in RNAcentral is "bacterial SSU rRNA". It matches the Rfam family "Bacterial small subunit ribosomal RNA", at positions 26 to 346 of the family's 1533-position model. The record is from RNAcentral.